GAAAUGCGAAAAGUAGUGUGAAUUGCAGAAUUCAGUGAAUCAUCGAAUCUUUGAACGCACAUUGCGCCCCUUGGUAUUCCGAGGGGCAUGCCUGUUCGAGCGUCAUUUGUACCCUCAAGCUUUGCUUGGUGUUGGGUGUUUGUCCACGCAUCUACUGCGUGGACUCGCCUUAAAACAAUUGGCAGCCGGCAUAUUGGUCUGGGAGCGCAGCACAUUUUGCGCUUUCCUUCCCGCAUGCUGGCGUCCAGAAGCCCUUUUUUCACUUUUGACCUCGGAUCAGGUAGGGAUACCCGCUGAACUUAA
RNAcentral lists this unclassified non-coding RNA (303 nucleotides) under uncultured Ascomycota. Its description in RNAcentral is "sequence contains ITS1". The stretch from base 1 to 105 matches the Rfam family "5.8S ribosomal RNA", at positions 50 to 154 of the family's 154-position model. Lineage: Eukaryota; Fungi; Ascomycota. The record is from RNAcentral.